This 443-nucleotide ribosomal RNA is filed under the name uncultured bacterium. Its description in RNAcentral is "partial 16S ribosomal RNA". It matches the Rfam family "Bacterial small subunit ribosomal RNA", at positions 338 to 795 of the family's 1533-position model. The record is from RNAcentral.
CCUACGGGUGGCAGCAGUGGGGAAUAUUGGGCAAUGGGCGCAAGCCUGACCCAGCAACGCCGCGUGAAGGAAGAAGGCUUUAUGGUUGUAAACUUCUUUUCUUACGAACGAAGCAAGUGACGCUACCUGCGGUCUAAGCCACGGCUAACUAUGUGCCACCAGUCGCGGUAUUACGUAGGUGGCAAGCGUUAUCCGGAUUUACUGGGUGUAAAGGUCGUGUAGGCGGGACUGCAAGUUAGAUGUGAAAACCACGGGCUCAACCUGUGAAGUGCAUUUGAUACUGUAGUUCUUGAGUGCAGGAGCGGUAGACGGAAUGCAUGGUGUAGCGGUGAAAUGCGUAGAGAUUAGGAAGAACACCGGUGGCGAAGGCAGUCUACCAAGCAACAACUGACGUUGAGGCGCGAAAGCGUGGGGAGCAAACAGGAUUAGAUACCCCUGUAGUC